RNAcentral lists this ribosomal RNA (411 nucleotides) under Pichia fermentans. RNAcentral describes it as "eukaryotic LSU rRNA". The stretch from base 75 to 227 matches the Rfam family "5.8S ribosomal RNA". Lineage: Eukaryota; Fungi; Ascomycota; Pichiomycetes; Pichiales; Pichiaceae. The record is from RNAcentral.
UCAUUAUCACCACACUGCGUGGGCGACACGAAACACCGAAACCGAACGCACGCCGUCAAGCAAGAAAUCCACAAAACUUUCAACAACGGAUCUCUUGGUUCUCGCAUCGAUGAAGAGCGCAGCGAAAUGCGAUACCUAGUGUGAAUUGCAGCCAUCGUGAAUCAUCGAGUUCUUGAACGCACAUUGCGCCCGCUGGUAUUCCGGCGGGCAUGCCUGUCUGAGCGUCGUUUCCUUCUUGGAGCGGAGCUUCAGACCUGGCGGGCGUCCCUGUGGACGGCGCGCCCAAAGCGAGGGGCCUUCUGCGCGAACUAGACUGUGCGCGCGGGGCGGCCGGCGAACUUAUACCAAGCUCGACCUCAGAUCAGGCAGGAGUACCCGCUGAACUUAAGCAUAUCAAAGGCGGAGGAAGGA